UGUUGAGGUCACUGAGAAAUGGUUUACAAACUUACCCCAAGUUCUUGAGGUCAGGAGCAGAGGGCAGCUAAGGGAUGUUAAACUCUGUAUAACCCAUGGCUGGAUAAUCCAGGCAGAUCACUACCUGAGUCCCUCCUUGGCUGUCUUUACAUUGGCACAGUCACAUUCUCAUUCAGUGGUUUCUCCAUCCAUGUCUGUGGAAGUGACUUAGGACAGAAGUUGCUGGCCAGUGUUUACCACCCGGACCCACGCCCACUCUCUUCCCAUUGUCCUUCCUGUUGUCCGAGACCAGCUCAGACAGGUGGGAUCAGCACCCAUUAUGUUCGUUAGGACUUGUGCACACAAACCACCAGUAAA
Molecule: long non-coding RNA, 357 nt
Organism: Micropterus dolomieu (smallmouth bass)
Lineage: Eukaryota; Metazoa; Chordata; Actinopteri; Centrarchiformes; Centrarchidae
Exons: 3
Source: RefSeq, a predicted model, not a curated record